RNAcentral lists this ribosomal RNA (225 nucleotides) under uncultured bacterium. Its description in RNAcentral is "partial 16S ribosomal RNA". It matches the Rfam family "Bacterial small subunit ribosomal RNA", at positions 524 to 747 of the family's 1533-position model. The record is from RNAcentral.
UACGUAGGGUGCAAGCGUUGUCCGGAAUUAUUGGGCGUAAAGAGCUCGUAGGCGGUCUGUCGCGUCGGCUGUGAAAACCCGGAGCUCAACUCCGGGCCUGCAGUCGAUACGGGCAAACUGGAGUACUGCAGGGGAGACUGGAAUUCCUGGUGUAGCGGUGAAAUGCGCAGAUAUCAGGAGGAACACCGGUGGCGAAGGCGGGGUCUCUGGGCAGUAACUGACGCU